RNAcentral lists this long non-coding RNA (677 nucleotides) under Fukomys damarensis (Damara mole-rat). Its description in RNAcentral is "lncRNA (ENSFDAG00000028966.1)". The record is from RNAcentral. Lineage: Eukaryota; Metazoa; Chordata; Mammalia; Rodentia; Bathyergidae.
GGGGCACUCUCGGGCCUGCACCGCCCGCUCUGAGAACAGGGACGGGGCACAGGACAUGCAGGAGAUCGCGGGGCUCCGCAGGAAGUUUCCACAUGGUUCUCUCUCACGUGGUGGAACUUGGACUAAGACUCAUCAGUGACCAUUACCAGUGGGAUCAGUGGCAUCGAGCACUUGGGCACAGCUCCCUGUCCCUGAAGCAGCACAGGCCCCUGCCCGUGGGGAAGAGGAGCUGCAGAGAACCAUCUCUGCUGAGAAACACCAGGGCCCUGCCGAGCCUGCCUCCACCUCCCCUGCAGACCUGCAGAGGUCCGAAAUCAUCUCUGCCGAGGAGUGGACACAGUGCCCUUCAAGCCCGGUCACUGGGAGGCCCCGGAGCUGGGCCUUGACCUCAGGUGGCCAGGUGGGCCCUCAGGCGGCCCCCCGGCGCUGCUGUCCCUCCAGUGUCCUCCCACUUCCUCCCUGCCCAACAGGUUGAGGACGCAGAGCCUGCAGCCCCAGGCCGACCUCAGCCCAGCCCUUCCCGCAGGCCCCACUCAGCCUGCCAGUCCCCAGGCCACCACUUCUGUUCCCACGCCUCACGGAGUGCAGGCUGGCUGGGCGCCGUCCAUUCAUCACUGAGCCGAGGGCGCCAGGCCUGGGAGAGUGUUCAGGAGGCCCCUGCUCCCUCGUAGUGGAAG